Molecule: ribosomal RNA, 313 nt
Filed under: uncultured Glomeromycotina
Lineage: Eukaryota; Fungi; Glomeromycota
Description: LSU rRNA
Source: RNAcentral
UUGAAAGGGAAACGAUUGAAGUCAGUCAUGCUGGUGGGAAUCAACUUAGGGGAAACUCUAGGUGCACUUCUUCGCUUGGCAGGUUAACGUCGAUCUUGAAUGCCAUAAAAUAAUUGGGGGGAAGGUAGCUUGUUCGGGAGUGUUAUAGCCCUUGAUAGAUGUGAUGUUUGGGGUCGAGGAUUGCAACGGAUACCCUUUGGGGCUAGCCGCCUGAUCUCUAAUCGGUGUUGGGUUACGGAUAGCAUGCUGACCGUGAUCUAAUUACUGGUUAAAAGGUUAGAGCGUGCAUAAAUUCGUUAAGGAUGUUGACGUA